CAGAGAAUUACGAGUCUCGUAUAAUAUCUCUGUCAUAGAUGACUGCCUUAACACGUGCUGUCACAGCACGCGGUGUGAAUCAUUGGCUGAAUGGCGCGUGCAUUGUUUACAUAAGACAUAACUGCUUCGGAGAGAAUGCUGCAUUUUAGUCAUUUUAAUACCCAUUUACACUAAAUCGGAAAUAAUUUUUAACUACAAAUACGUCAAACGCCUUUAUUUAUUUUUCCAAUAUAUACAAAAAAUGUUUUAGAAUUUAAUUUGUCGCAGGAAAAAAGUUAAUAUUUCUAGCUCAUUAAGCCGCAUCAAUGUCAUCCUUAUCAGUGAUUGUCGCGGCCAAGCAAAUAUUCACUGCGGAUCAGUGGGCUGUCAAUCAUGCUGCCUCGCUGUGUUUGAUCUAUCAUUUAUCCACUCCAAUGGGGAUUACCCGAGAUUUUGAAUUUGUGUUCCAGCUACUUGAAUUAAAAUGAAUAGAUCUACAUGAUUCAUGAAAUUACCACAAGGAGUUUAAAAAUGGGGCAAGCUACUUCAAACCAAGUGUGUAAUAAUUCAGGAGGAGGUGAUGAAGAUGUUGCUGCAAUAGAUUCUAGACUUCUAGAAUGUAGACAAAACUUUAUGAAAGCCGUUCAAAAAGGAGAAAAAUACACUCAUUUUGUCUUGAAUCUGAUAUCAUUACCAUGUCCAGUGUCACUGAAGUAUGCUUUAUUAAAUGUUAAACAUAUUCUAGAACAAAACAAUCAGUCAGAAGAAGAGCUGAAGAAGAUACCUAUUGCACUUGUUAUAUUAGAAAAAUAUUGUCGCCAUUUGCUGAAACCUGUUGCUUUUCGAGCCGAAAUGUGGAGAUCAGUAAAAUAUUCAAAUCCUAUUUAUGAGGAUCGUGUAGAGCCUCUUAAGGGUAGUACUGAUAUCAUGGAAUUAAUGGGCUAUACUGUGAAAGUAGAAGAUGGGGUUUACUUUCCUGAGGGAAAAGAACCAGAUGUGGAUAUAAUAUACAACUUGUUAACAGAUAUUAUAAUGGCUAGACAAGAAAUGGAACUGUAUUUAAUAGGUGCUCAUCCACAGCCUGCUCAUAUUGAUCAGUAUUUACCACAAAGUACCAUUAUGCGUAUAAGAAUUUUGCAACAAAGUGGAUAUAAAACAAGUUCAACAUCGCCAGAAAAAAUUGAUUCCAAAACUGGAGGGGAAAUGAAAAAUAAAGGGUGUACUAUAUGCCUUGAUAAGAAAGCUGUUAUUUUUUGUGAAGGAUGUGACAAAAUAUUGAUGUGUGAAAUGUGUGAUAGUAAAUGGCAUGAACACCCUAGACGUCAACAACCAAAUCACAAAAGAAAGAAAAUAGAAGCUUGGAAUGUAAUUCCUCAGUCAUCUGUUAAAAUAACUCAUCAAGGAGCUUAUGGACUAGGACUUUUAAGUGUCGAGGUAUUCUGGGAAUGAUUUUUCAGCAAGAUGGCACGUAUUGGAUUUUAUUGAGGAUUGCAUGAGAAAUGUACAAUAUACAGCUACUUGGAUUACGCAGACAGAGAAAGAUAGAUUAUACUAGUUAAAUUGAGGGAUUGGGUUUGAAAAUCCUAUAUUUGAGCAUCAUUGGGGGCAGUAAUGUCGAGGAAGUUAUAAAAAGGUUUAUAAAGGCUUUAUAUAUGGAAGCUAGAUGACACAACUACAUGUACAUGUACUUGUCACACACAGAAUUGGGAUUGAAACCAUGCCACUGAACUCGAUGACAAUCCUCUUGAUCGAAAUGGCAAAGAAAUAAAGACUUUUUAAUUAUGUAACAAUAUAUAUGUAUCUAUGGUAGCACAAAAUUCAUCAGCUUUACUUUACAAGCAGUAGGCCUAAAAUUUUUUGGGGGGGUGGAUGGCCGAAUGGUUAGCAUGUGCGCACUGCGCGCUGUAUCAUAAGGCCUGUCAUUGAGUCAACUGGCGUGGUUUCGAAUCCCCGGUUGUACGUGACAAGGAGUAGGGUCGCCUGUCCAACCUCGUGGGUUUUCUCCGGGUCCUCCGGUUUCUUCUCACUGCUAAAGACCCCUACGCGCAAGCGAAUUAUUGAAAUAAAAUUAAACCAUGUGUUAGUCCCGAAAUGACCUAGUUUGUGUCGAGUGGACCUUAAACCCCAUUUCUCUCUCUCUCUCCCCUAAAAUAUUUUCUGUCUGAUAUUGUGACAGUCAUUUCUUUUAUGAAUAGUUUGUUUCAAGCCGAUAUCCUGUCACAAUAUCAUAUAACAGCCCUUUAGCUUAAACUGAGUUGUAUCAGUGUGUUGAAAAUCUACUGCAGCCAGUAAACGAUAAGCCUUUGCAUCCCUUACAAAUUCUUAAAAUUUUUGUGAUAGAUCAAUCAUAGCAAAGAUCUGUGUUGUAAUUAUAUUUGUAAUGUGUUUAACGAAUUCUAUCACACAUGGUGUAGUAAAGAAUAUACCUUUUUUUCAAUGUUGGGGUAUUAUAUCGUUGACAUGACUGUAUGUCAAAAAUUAGCUUGUUAUUGUGAAGGGGACAGUUUUUAACAGAUUCUUUUCAAACUGGUUGUGAAGAAUCAUGAGAGGAUGAACCAUGAACCUUAUCAAUAUUUGACAUUCUGAGACUGUCCAUUUUACGAAAACCUUGUGACAAUUGUCUUGUGAAUGCGACAAAGGCUGCAGUUGCUACCAGAUUCUUUUCAAACUGGAUGUGAAACAUUGCGAUCAUGAGAGGACGAACGGUAUCGAUAUUCAGCUUUUCACGAUUUUUCCGUCCAGAGUUAUAUUUUUGGGGGUAUAAGUCGAUACCUUUUUUCGCUGAAGUCUGGCCUUCGUCUUGUACUGCGCUUCGAUUUGUAUAUACGGAUGAACAAACAAAAAAAAGAAGUCUGGGAUAGAAUUUUGUCAUUAACUGUCGCUCCACGGUGCCGCACGCAAUAUUGUCUAAAACAAAACUACUUCAAAUUACACAAUUCCAAUUGAAAUAGUUUGUUUAUAUCUUUAUUUAAAAACACAUUCUUCCCCCCCCCCCUUCAAAAUUUGAUCAUCAAAGUGAGAAUAUGCCAUCAAUAGAAUCUUUUUGGCACAUUUCCAUUUCUGUUAAUUUCGUGCGUCUUGCGAGAUUUCCGUCUUGGCUUUCAUUUAAAUACUCAAGAUUUUAACUAGAUUAGAAUGGUCGCCAAUUACAAAUUUAAUUCAAAAAUGGGAAAGUAAGGUCAAGUCUCGAAUAUUUACAUGUGCUCUGGUUACCACAAUGCACACAUCUUGUCAAAACUAUAAAUUGUGAUAACUUGGCUCAGAAUGAAGUAAUUUGAAAUAAAUUUUCAAUAUUUUCAUUUUGCAUUAUCCAUUUUUGAGCUAUUAUAGUAAGAAUUGUCGGUUCUUUAUUUAGAUUUUACAGAAUGGAUCUUUAAUGGAUCUUUUUCAAAUUUGGCAUGAAGCAUUGGGGUCCUGAGUCCCCCCCCCCCAUUUGCUGCAAAGCCUGUGACCAUUGCUCUAUAGUUUUUUCGCAUUGGUUUCAAAGUUGGUGUGAAGCAUUGGGAUAAAAACCCUAUUGAUAUUCAGUAUUCCACAAAUUUCAUUUCCAGAAUUAUCCCACCUUGAUAAGUCGAAAACCUUGAGCAAACGUGAUAGAGGCUAUAGGUUUUUUUUUUUGUCAAAUUUGGUCAACAUCACAGCUUUCCUUUCUCAUAUGCAGCUGACUGUGUGGGCGUCUUUCUACAUUUUCAAAGUGCUAAGGUAGACCUUUUUCCGAAGAGCUGUUUCCCAAGUUGUCACCAACUUAGUGCUAUGGAUAAACUGUUACAAUUUAAAUGUCUGCUUUUGUAUUUUAUUACAUUAUAUAUUUAUCUUUUGAAUAAAGUACAGAUACUUUUAGUAUAUUUUGUUUAAUAAUUAUGUAAGUUUUGCUGGUGUUUGGGCGUUCGGUUGCAAUUACAAUUAGAAUUUUGAAUGGUUAUUGAUAAAUAGAGAAAGAAAUGGGGAUCAACGUCCACUCACAUCACAGUACAUCAUUUUGGGACUAACAUGUGAUUCAGUUUUAUUUCUAUAACUCGUUUCCAUUUAGGGAUCUUUAGCAGUGGGAGAAAACCCACAAGAUUGGACAGGUUACCCCACUACUUGUCAUGUACAAGUGGGGAAUCGAAACAACACCACUUAAUUCAAUGACAGACCUUAUGAUGCAAUGCACAUGUGUUAUUAACCAUUUGACGGCCGAAACCUCUAGGAGGAAAUAGGUAGAGAGAAAUGGGAUUUAAUGUCUAAUAGGCAAAAACUUUCAUUUCGGGCCUAAGAUCCAGUUUCAGUUCAAUAAUUUGCUUGCGCCAGGAAUCUUUAGUAGUGGGAGGACCCAGAGAAAGUCCACGUUCAUGUCUGAUAUCGAAACCAAGCCACUUGUAUCAAUGACAGACCUUAACAAAAGUGCAUGUGUUAGAGCACUUGACCAUCUAGCCUCUCCUAUGGUUAAAGAAUAUUUGGUUAUUGGUUGAUUGAAUUUCACAAUUACAACCACCAAUAAUAGAUUAUAUUAAAGGUUUUACUUUCUCAUUUGACAUUAGAAUUGCAUCCGAAAAUGAUGUUUAUCUCAUGUUAGAUUUACGUUAUAAUGGUCAGUUAGAUUUCCAUCUUUUUGCUCAUUCUUUUAACGACAGUUUAAUGUCAGGAAAUGACGUUAAUCUAGG
This is an RNA transcript of Patella vulgata (common limpet), 4622 nucleotides long. It is a transcript of the gene named E3 ubiquitin-protein ligase RNF31, with no coding region annotated. The transcript has 9 exons. Lineage: Eukaryota; Metazoa; Mollusca; Gastropoda; Patellidae. The record is from RefSeq and is a predicted model, not a curated record.